CCAGCGACAACGAUAUUUAUCUCAUCGAAACAAAAAUAUCUGCCGGUAUCCUGCAUGUUGUACUGUUGUGGAAGCAAGGACAAGGAGAAGCAGCGCCCGGACGCUGCAGAGGUGUCGAGAAUUCUAGAGACAGAGACAGAUAAAAACCGAAAGAGCCAAGAAAGCGCACCUCAACCACUGGACAUGUACGGAAUAGCGGCAAUGCCCGAGCUUCUACCACCCUCUGGCGUACUUCAGCCCAGCUCAGUAAUCCCACUCGAGUCGGAUGAGGUGCCUGGUUUGUGGAAUGGAUUCAACAGGGGUGUGCUGAGUUUUGACUCCCCCCAGCGGAGACGAGGCCAACGGGCCCCGAAGUUAGGGCAAAUAGGACGGUCGAAGAGAGUGGUUAUAGAGGAUGACGACUUGGAUGAUGUCAUGAAACACAAUGGCCUCCCCAUAUCAAUCAAUAUCUCUCCUGUUGCCUGAACAACUCUGAUAGUGUCCAGACCUCAAGAGGCUAUUGUGCUCAUUUGUGAAAUUCUGAAGUGUGUACCACUUGUUUCUGGACAAUGUCCAAUUCAGGUGCCCAUUGCAAAGUUUACAAUAGUAGCAUGCGCAUCACAUGUAGUUUAGCUCUUCCUGGACACAGGAAGGUCAGUGUCCCAAGGAAAUAGAAGUAAAAAACAGUGCAUCUUUGCUUCAGCUGCUGUUCUGGUGUUGAAGGGGGGACUUUGUGUCCUGAGGAGAGGGGAGCAAUUAGGAUAGAUUUGGGUCCGGACAGGCUGAAACAUAAGCACACAAGAGAAGGCCCUACCCAUCAAGACCUGCCCCUUCAAAAUGAGUGGACCUGUUUGUUUGUUGUUCAGUCUUUAGUGUCUAUAUUUUAAACACUCCAUCCAAGAUGUUAUUUUAAUUUGUGUCAAUCCAACCUAUAUCUAACUGAGAAAACAGCUACUCAUAGUGCUGGGCAGUGUUUUCACAAUAUUAUUUAUUUUACAUUAUGUACGCUUUUUCAGUGUUUCACAUAUGUUAACACUUAUUUUAGUUUUUGACAGUUGACAACGCUGUCUCGUUUUGGUGCAAACUGUAAAAUCUGUUGUAAAACGUGUUAGAUAAACUGAAGGCUUUAAUUUGCAUUGUAACAUGUCAUAAUCAUUGUCUUAGUAUAACAUAUGUUGUACUGUAUGUUACUUUUACCCCUGAGUUGCUAGACAAAAAGAGUUCCCACUGUGAACUAUUUAUGGAACUUUAUGUAUCCCUGCAUCGAGGUGUAAUAUACACAUUUUUUACAACCAGCUUCCUGUUAUAUUCUUCACCAUAAUGCCACAUCUGUUAGAAAAGUAAUGUGGCAUUCAGAUAAGUAGCCUAACUUAUGUUAAACCCAGCUAUGAAGCAGGUCGCUACAUGGAGGAGCAAGUCAAGGAAAUUGGUGUAAGACUCACCGAGCUGUGAGGAAUACAUUGUUUUGAUGUAACCAUUGUUCAGUUUGGCUCAGUCUUAUCUUUGUCAAGAUUAAUAGAUGUAAAGUUAUAAAAUCUACCCCUCACUAGAGAUAUACAAGCAGGGUUUAGCUUAAAUCAAUUCACUUGUCAAGAACGGGUUUUCUAAAUCCUCCUUGAAUCUACUUGUUAGUUUUCCCCAACCCUUUUCAGUUGUCAAAUCACAUUUUGUGCCAAACACAACUUACAAGCCCUUAACCAACCAUGCAGUUUAAAAAAAAUAGAGUUAAGAAAAAAUGUAAGAAAUUAUUGUACCAAGCGAAUUUUGCUCUGCCCGGAGUACCCCUGACAUAUCCCUUCAUGUGCAUUAUACCAGUAGGACUAUUAUCUCAUGAGUCUUCAAGUACCCUCUGUCAAGUAACCCUGUUUGGAAACCACUGUUAGAAUGUGAUCCGCUGUUGUGUAAUGAUAGUAUGCACCACCAGAUAGCGAUAAAGUCAAAGGAACAUAGUCCUCAGCCCAAAAUCUGUGUCUUACUCAACCCCUCAGUCUGUUAUUCAUUUGAAAUAAAACCUGUUAGUCUUUGGAACCUAUGCAAAGUCACAGGCUCACAGUUGAAGACAAAGAGAACAUUUCAAAAACAGUCCGUACCUCACUGAUUUGAGAGAACUUAAUGUACAUUGUUAGAGUCCCCUGCCUGUGAGCUUUAUAGCUUCAUGCAGCUCAUUCCACCCAUCCCCCAAACAUGCCAGAGAGACUAAGGGGGGGGGACAGUGGGUUACUGCCUUGCUUAGGAGCCAAACAGAUUUUUAGCUUGUCAGCUCAGGGAUUUGAUCCAGCAACCUUUGGUUACUGGCCCAACUCUACCCGCCAGGCUACCAGACCAUGUUCGAGGGGAUCUAAACCAUUUUGCCUAGAUAAUGUAUCAAGUAAAAUUGUGACUCACUGACCUACAAAUAAUUAUAAGUCGUUAUUUAUGAUGCAAGGUGAUUUGUAGAUCAGUCAGUUGGCAAUGGCCUGCACUGUUGGCUGCAAUGUGAAACAAGCCCCAUGAGGAUCAUAAAGACUGGGUUCCAGAGCUUAGACAUUGCUGCACCUAACAGGUCUUCAACUCCUGGUUAGGUAUUUUAAGUAUCAGCUAACUACAUCCUAGGCGUCUUCUCUGACCAGGCGUUGCGGACGCCGGCUAGGUCUUAAAACACCUGGAUAGCAAUCUCAGUCGAUGACGUGGCA
RNAcentral lists this long non-coding RNA (2651 nucleotides) under Oncorhynchus mykiss (rainbow trout). RNAcentral's name for it is "lncRNA (ENSOMYG00000063088.1)". Lineage: Eukaryota; Metazoa; Chordata; Actinopteri; Salmoniformes; Salmonidae. The record is from RNAcentral.